Molecule: ribosomal RNA, 2795 nt
Filed under: Escherichia coli
Lineage: Bacteria; Pseudomonadati; Pseudomonadota; Gammaproteobacteria; Enterobacterales; Enterobacteriaceae
Description: partial 23S ribosomal RNA
Rfam family: Bacterial large subunit ribosomal RNA
Source: RNAcentral
GGUUAAGCGACUAAGCGUACACGGUGGAUGCCCUGGCAGUCAGAGGCGAUGAAGGACGUGCUAAUCUGCGAUAAGCGUCGGUAAGGUGAUAUGAACCGUUAUAACCGGCGAUUUCCGAAUGGGGAAACCCAGUGUGUUUCGACACACUAUCAUUAACUGAAUCCAUAGGUUAAUGAGGCGAACCGGGGGAACUGAAACAUCUAAGUACCCCGAGGAAAAGAAAUCAACCGAGAUUCCCCCAGUAGCGGCGAGCGAACGGGGAGCAGCCCAGAGCCUGAAUCAGUAUGUGUGUUAGUGGAAGCGUCUGGAAAGGCGCGCGAUACAGGGUGACAGCCCCGUACACAAAAAUGCACAUAUUGUGAGCUCGAUGAGUAGGGCGGGACACGUGGUAUCCUGUCUGAAUAUGGGGGGACCAUCCUCCAAGGCUAAAUACUCCUGACUGACCGAUAGUGAACCAGUACCGUGAGGGAAAGGCGAAAAGAACCCCGGCGAGGGGAGUGAAAAAGAACCUGAAACCGUGUACGUACAAGCAGUGGGAGCACGCUUAGGCGUGUGACUGCGUACCUUUUGUAUAAUGGGUCAGCGACUUAUAUUCUGUAGCAAGGUUAACCGAAUAGGGGAGCCGAAGGGAAACCGAGUCUUAACUGGGCGUUAAGUUGCAGGGUAUAGACCCGAAACCCGGUGAUCUAGCCAUGGGCAGGUUGAAGGUUGGGUAACACUAACUGGAGGACCGAACCGACUAAUGUUGAAAAAUUAGCGGAUGACUUGUGGCUGGGGGUGAAAGGCCAAUCAAACCGGGAGAUAGCUGGUUCUCCCCGAAAGCUAUUUAGGUAGCGCCUCGUGAAUUCAUCUCCGGGGGUAGAGCACUGUUUCGGCAAGGGGGUCAUCCCGACUUACCAACCCGAUGCAAACUGCGAAUACCGGAGAAUGUUAUCACGGGAGACACACGGCGGGUGCUAACGUCCGUCGUGAAGAGGGAAACAACCCAGACCGCCAGCUAAGGUCCCAAAGUCAUGGUUAAGUGGGAAACGAUGUGGGAAGGCCCAGACAGCCAGGAUGUUGGCUUAGAAGCAGCCAUCAUUUNNNNNNNNNNNNNNNNNNNNNNNNNNNNNNNNNNNNNNNNNNNNNNNNNNNNNNNNNNNNNNNNNNNNNNNNNNNNNNNNNNNNNNNNNNNNNNNNNNNNNNNNNNNNNNNNNNNNNNNNNNNNNNCUGAAGGUGUGCUGUGAGGCAUGCUGGAGGUAUCAGAAGUGCGAAUGCUGACAUAAGUAACGAUAAAGCGGGUGAAAAGCCCGCUCGCCGGAAGACCAAGGGUUCCUGUCCAACGUUAAUCGGGGCAGGGUGAGUCGACCCCUAAGGCGAGGCCGAAAGGCGUAGUCGAUGGGAAACAGGUUAAUAUUCCUGUACUUGGUGUUACUGCGAAGGGGGGACGGAGAAGGCUAUGUUGGCCGGGCGACGGUUGUCCCGGUUUAAGCGUGUAGGCUGGUUUUCCAGGCAAAUCCGGAAAAUCAAGGCUGAGGCGUGAUGACGAGGCACUACGGUGCUGAAGCAACAAAUGCCCUGCUUCCAGGAAAAGCCUCUAAGCAUCAGGUAACAUCAAAUCGUACCCCAAACCGACACAGGUGGUCAGGUAGAGAAUACCAAGGCGCUUGAGAGAACUCGGGUGAAGGAACUAGGCAAAAUGGUGCCGUAACUUCGGGAGAAGGCACGCUGAUAUGUAGGUGAAGUCCCUCGCGGAUGGAGCUGAAAUCAGUCGAAGAUACCAGCUGGCUGCAACUGUUUAUUAAAAACACAGCACUGUGCAAACACGAAAGUGGACGUAUACGGUGUGACGCCUGCCCGGUGCCGGAAGGUUAAUUGAUGGGGUUAGCCGCAAGGCGAAGCUCUUGAUCGAAGCCCCGGUAAACGGCGGCCGUAACUAUAACGGUCCUAAGGUAGCGAAAUUCCUUGUCGGGUAAGUUCCGACCUGCACGAAUGGCGUAAUGAUGGCCAGGCUGUCUCCACCCGAGACUCAGUGAAAUUGAACUCGCUGUGAAGAUGCAGUGUACCCGCGGCAAGACGGAAAGACCCCGUGAACCUUUACUAUAGCUUGACACUGAACAUUGAGCCUUGAUGUGUAGGAUAGGUGGGAGGCUUAGAAGUGUGGACGCCAGUCUGCAUGGAGCCGACCUUGAAAUACCACCCUUUAAUGUUUGAUGUUCUAACGUUGACCCGUAAUCCGGGUUGCGGACAGUGUCUGGUGGGUAGUUUGACUGGGGCGGUCUCCUCCUAAAGAGUAACGGAGGAGCACGAAGGUUGGCUAAUCCUGGUCGGACAUCAGGAGGUUAGUGCAAUGGCAUAAGCCAGCUUGACUGCGAGCGUGACGGCGCGAGCAGGUGCGAAAGCAGGUCAUAGUGAUCCGGUGGUUCUGAAUGGAAGGGCCAUCGCUCAACGGAUAAAAGGUACUCCGGGGAUAACAGGCUGAUACCGCCCAAGAGUUCAUAUCGACGGCGGUGUUUGGCACCUCGAUGUCGGCUCAUCACAUCCUGGGGCUGAAGUAGGUCCCAAGGGUAUGGCUGUUCGCCAUUUAAAGUGGUACGCGAGCUGGGUUUAGAACGUCGUGAGACAGUUCGGUCCCUAUCUGCCGUGGGCGCUGGAGAACUGAGGGGGGCUGCUCCUAGUACGAGAGGACCGGAGUGGACGCAUCACUGGUGUUCGGGUUGUCAUGCCAAUGGCACUGCCCGGUAGCUAAAUGCGGAAGAGAUAAGUGCUGAAAGCAUCUAAGCACGAAACUUGCCCCGAGAUGAGUUCUCCCUGAC